GGAUUUAUAGCUUAAUGGUAAAGCUCAUGAUUGUCGAUUAUGAAGUUGCCGGUUCGAUCCCGGUUGAAUCCG
Piptocephalis cylindrospora is the source of this 72-nucleotide non-coding RNA. The record is from the annotation of a GenBank genome assembly. NCBI's taxonomy places the organism in Eukaryota, Fungi, Zoopagomycota, Zoopagomycetes, Zoopagales, Piptocephalidaceae.